Molecule: ribosomal RNA, 497 nt
Filed under: uncultured bacterium
Lineage: Bacteria
Description: partial 16S ribosomal RNA
Rfam family: Bacterial small subunit ribosomal RNA
Source: RNAcentral
GAUGAACGCUGGCGGCGUGCCUAAUACAUGCAAGUCGAGCGAACGGACGAGACGCUUGCUUCUCUGAUGUUAGCGGCGGACGGGUGAGUAACACGUGGAUAACCUACCUAUAAGACUGGGAUAACUUCGGGAAACCGGAGCUAAUACCGGAUAAUAUUUUGAACCGCAUGGUUCAAAAGUGAAAGACGGUCUUGCUGUCACUUAUAGAUGGAUCCGCGCUGCAUUAGCUAGUUGGUAAGGUAACGGCUUACCAAGGCAACGAUGCAUAGCCGACCUGAGAGGGGGAUCGGCCACACUGGAACUGAGACACGGUCCAGACUCCUACGGGAGGCAGCAGUAGGGAAUCUUCCGCAAUGGGCGAAAGCCUGACGGAGCAACGCCGCGUGAGUGAUGAAGGUCUUCGGAUCGGAAAACUCUGUUAUUAGGGAAGAACAGAUGUGUAAGUAACUGUGCACAGCUUGACGGUACCUAAUCAGAAAGCCACGGCUAACUACGUG